UACGUAGGUGGCAAGCGUUGUCCGGAUUUACUGGGCGUAAAGGGCGCGUAGGCGGCCCUCUUAGUCGCGUGUGAAAGCCCCGGGCUCAACCUGGGAACGGCGCGCGAAACGGGAGGGCUGGAGUUCGGGAGAGGAGAGUGGAAUUCCCAGUGUAGAGGUGAAAUUCGUAGAUAUUGGGAAGAACACCGGUGGCGAAGGCGGCUCUCUGGACCGAGACUGACGCUGAGGCGGCGAAAAGCGUGGGGGAGCAAACAGGG
This 257-nucleotide ribosomal RNA is filed under the name uncultured bacterium. Its description in RNAcentral is "partial 16S ribosomal RNA". It matches the Rfam family "Bacterial small subunit ribosomal RNA", at positions 524 to 777 of the family's 1533-position model. The record is from RNAcentral.